Molecule: microRNA, 21 nt
Filed under: Mus musculus (house mouse)
Lineage: Eukaryota; Metazoa; Chordata; Mammalia; Rodentia; Muridae
Description: mmu-miR-7031-3p
Source: miRBase by way of RNAcentral
AACCCUCUUGCCCUCUCCUAG